AACGAACGCUGGCGGCAUGCCUAACACAUGCAAGUCGAACGAGACCUUCGGGUCUAGUGGCGCACGGGUGCGUAACACGUGGGAAUCUGCCCUUUGCUUCGGAAUAACAGUUAGAAAUGACUGCUAAUACCGGAUGAUGUCGAAAGACCAAAGAUUUAUCGGCAAAGGAUGAGCCCGCGUAGGAUUAGGUAGUUGGUGGGGUAAAGGCCUACCAAGCCGACGAUCCUUAGCUGGUCUGAGAGGAUGAUCAGCCACACUGGGACUGAGACACGGCCCAGACUCCUACGGGAGGCAGCAGUGGGGAAUAUUGGACAAUGGGCGAAAGCAUGAUCCAGCAAUGCCGCGUGAGUGAUGAAGGCCUUAGGGUUGUAAAGCUCUUUUACCAGGGAUGAUAAUGACAGUACCUGGAGAAUAAGCUCCGGCUAACUCCGUG
This 433-nucleotide ribosomal RNA is filed under the name uncultured bacterium. RNAcentral's name for it is "partial 16S ribosomal RNA". It matches the Rfam family "Bacterial small subunit ribosomal RNA", at positions 29 to 507 of the family's 1533-position model. The record is from RNAcentral.